Molecule: long non-coding RNA, 1349 nt
Organism: Cyprinus carpio carpio
Lineage: Eukaryota; Metazoa; Chordata; Actinopteri; Cypriniformes; Cyprinidae
Source: Ensembl
CUUUCUGGCUUUCUUUGAACAGUUGUUAAUGAUUGUCCAAUAAAGUCAUGAGUGUUGCUGGUGUCUUGAAGUAGGGUGGAGUGCACGCAAGAGAUGGAGACAGGCCACUUUUUAGAGCUCUUUACGACCCCCUGGAGACCCUUGAUUAUGCCGUGCCAGGGCAAAGGGCAUCCAGAGAGCAAACCCAGGCCCUUUACCAGAUCUCAAAGCUUGUGACAGUUUAGACAGCAGAGAACAGCCAAGAACUGACUGAGUGUUAAUUGAAGGCGGUCUAUAUUACAGUGUCCAAAAGAAAGAGACCGUCCUGCCUGACUAAAGUAAGUGAUUGCAUUCAACAUUUACUGGCAAACCCAAUCUGAGUCUUAUGCGCUUUUUCCACGCACCACCUCAGUUGUUUCAUAGAAGCUCUGAAGCACUAAUUACUUGACUGUUUAGUAAAAAAAUAAAAUAAAAUAAAAAACUAUCCUGUUACAGGGAGCUAGAGAGGAAGAGAAAGGAAUGGGAAGGAGGAAGGUAGGAUACGGAGAGAGUUAGCAAAGGGAAAAAAGGGUGUUUGUCAGGAAAUUUAUUCCACAUGUAGUCGUGCAGGACUGCUCAGUCACGUGGAGUGUACCUCGUUGAGCUGCAGUGGACAGGGAACCCUGCUAUUAAUCUGAAGAUGUGACGGGUCGAACCACUUCCAUAUCCGGGGGCCGGCUGUGAGGUCCAUAACAGAAGCAGUGAAAGGGAACAUUCUGGAUGUGCUCAGCACCAACUGGAUGAGAGUUCCUGAAUUAGGAUGGAAAAAACUAUAUAUGAAAAGCUCAGGAUUGCUGUGCAAUAGUUUUAUGAUGCCAUAUGUUCUUUUACUUUAUUUAAACUGAAAAAAGGAAAAUAAAAAUAAUCAGUAUUUUUGGCUUGUUUCAAACAUCAAAACAUUCUUAAAACAAGAUAAAUUUUCUUUGUAUAAAAUGCUAAGAUUGUGUUAGAUACUUUAGUGAUUGUAUGCUAAAUUGUAUUUAUUAUUAUUAUUAUUAUUUACACUUCAAAAAGGAUUUUCUUAGUAUUUUUGGCUUGAUUUCUAGUACAAAUAUCUAAACAUUCUUGAAUUAAGAUAACUUUACUUGAGAAGCAAAAUGACUAUAGACAGUAAGUUUUCUUCUCAAGAAAACUUACUGUCUCUUGAUUUAAAAAUGUUUAAAUAUUUGUAAUGGAAAACAAGACACAAAUAGUAUGUAAGAAAAUCAUUUUUUGGCAGUACAUUUUUUUUUUGCUAAUAAAACUAACAAAAUUAAGUGUAGUUUAUUCUUAAAAUAAGAAAACUAUUUUCCAAUUUUACUUCUGAAGUUAAUCUUGGUUUAGCAAUGUUU